This 253-nucleotide ribosomal RNA is filed under the name uncultured bacterium. RNAcentral describes it as "partial 16S ribosomal RNA". It matches the Rfam family "Bacterial small subunit ribosomal RNA", at positions 524 to 776 of the family's 1533-position model. The record is from RNAcentral.
UACAGAGGGUGCAAGCGUUAAUCGGAAUUACUGGGCGUAAAGCGUGCGUAGUCGGUUAUUUAAGUCGGGUGUGAAAUCCCCGGGCUCAACCUGGGAAUUGCAUUCGAUACUGGAUAGCUAGAGUUCGGCAGAGGGAAGCGGAAUUUCGGGUGUAGCGGUGAAAUGCGUAGAUAUCGGGAGGAACACCUGUGGCGAAAGCGGCUUACUAGACGACAACUGACGCUGAGGCGCGAAAGCUAGGGGAGCAAACAGG